GUAGUAUUAAGAGAGACAAUGGUAGCGAGUAGUAUGAAAGACUGUAAGUCAACAUAGUGAGGUUGGUUGUGGUGGUGAAUGUGUCAAACAACACAGAACUUUCACCCUAGAGACCGGGGAUCGUGACCCAUGUCUACCGUGUCCUUUCACUAUUC
Molecule: long non-coding RNA, 155 nt
Organism: Etheostoma spectabile (orangethroat darter)
Lineage: Eukaryota; Metazoa; Chordata; Actinopteri; Perciformes; Percidae
Exons: 3
Source: RefSeq, a predicted model, not a curated record